UUACGGGAGGCAGCAGUAGGGAAUAUUGGUCAAUGGAGGCAACUCUGAACCAGCCAUGCCGCGUGCAGGAAGACUGCCCUAUGGGUUGUAAACUGCUUUUGUACGGGAAGAAACCCUUCGAUGCGUCGGAGGUUGACGGUACCGUGAGAAUAAGGAUCGGCUAACUUCGUGCCAGCAGCCGCGGUAAUACGAAGGAUCCAAGCGUUGUCCGGAUUUACUGGGUUUAAAGGGAGCGUAGGCGGUUUCUUAAGUCAGUGGUGAAAGCCUUCAGCUUAACUGAAGAAUUGCCAUUGAAACUGAGAGACUCGAGUAUGGUUGAGGUCACUGGAAUGUAACAUGUAGCGGUGAAAUGCUUAGAUAUGUUACAGAACACCAAUUGCGAAGGCAGGUGACUAAGCCAUAACUGACGCUGAGGCUCGAAAGCGUGGGGAGCAAACAGGAUUAGAUACCCCAGUAA
RNAcentral lists this ribosomal RNA (457 nucleotides) under uncultured bacterium. RNAcentral's name for it is "bacterial SSU rRNA". It matches the Rfam family "Bacterial small subunit ribosomal RNA", at positions 339 to 793 of the family's 1533-position model. The record is from RNAcentral.